This is a long non-coding RNA of Girardinichthys multiradiatus, 3632 nucleotides long. RefSeq lists it as uncharacterized. The record is from RefSeq and is a predicted model, not a curated record. The transcript is spliced from 6 exons. NCBI's taxonomy places the organism in Eukaryota, Metazoa, Chordata, Actinopteri, Cyprinodontiformes, Goodeidae.
UUAUCUGUAAGCCAUAAUCAUCAAAAUUAAAAGAAACAAUGGUUUGAAAUAUUUCACACUGUGUGUUAUCAAUCUAUAUAAUAUGAGUUUCCCUUUCUGUAAUUAGUGACAGGAAAUUUCUAACUUUUUUUCUAUAUUUUAAAUUUUUGAGAUGUACUUGUAACAGUAACAGGGAAGGAAAGAUGAUACAUAGUUUUCAAUAUGUUUUACAAAUAACAGUGUUAGACUUGAUUCUCAUGAAUUAUAUUAAAGUAUGUAACUCAGAUCUAAAGUGUGCUGCUAAAUUUAGAUCAACUCUGUCUUUCCAACAGCUCCAGCUUCCCUUUUCCUGCCAAAGAAAGGCAUCCCCAGAUCAUGAUUGUGCCACCACCUGAUUGACAAUGAGAAUGGUGUUUUUAGACCGCCAUAGUUUAUUUAUAGCUUGAGAUAUUGUCUUAUGUCUUCUUUAACUUCUCCACUACUUCUUCCCUUACCUAUCCAGAUAUGUUCCUGGGUCUUCAUUAUGAUUUUUGUUUGGUAAUGUUGUUGAGGACUUCACAGAACAACUGUAUUUAGACUGAGAUCUAUUUACACAUAGGUGUACUCUCUUCACUUUUAUUAAGUGACUUCUCAACUGCAACGGAAGCCUCUUCUGUUGCAGUUGAUUUAACCUGGGGGUUUCUCACAAAAGGGUUAGUUGUAAAAGGAGUAUUUUCCAAGGCACUGCACAGGUUUACAGACAUCAAGUGGGCGCAGUGUCAUAAAUUAGACAGUUACCCAAUAAUCUUUUGGAUUUGGAGUUCAAGACUGGUUGCUGGAUGGGCAGGAUUAAGAACAUCUGAGUGACAGCUCAGGUUGAAUGGAUGUGGUAAAGAGAGACCCUGGGUAUAUUAGUUGAAGGAUGCUGGUGAUGGAGCUACUAGAUAAGAGGGCAAAGAGAAAACCUGGGAAAAAGAGUUAUGGAUGUUGUGAGAAAGUGUUUGCAGAUGGACAGAGAAAGAUGCAGAGGACUUGAAAAACAGCAAGCACAAGUCUUCAUAAACCGGCCCCAGUAUUGAAUUAAUUAUCGACAGUUUUGAUUAAAUUACUCAUGAUUGAAGAAAGCAAUCUGAGGAAAAUAUUUGUGAGCUUCACUAAGUUAAGUGAGGGGAUUGAAUGCUUUUUAAUACCUAAUAUGAAUUUCUAUGGAGUCUGUUAGGUCUAGGCCUUUAGCAGUGUUCUGUCUGAGAUUUAGAAAUUGUGAAGUUCUUUAUAUGUCUUCUUUGUAGCUUUUCUGUGUUUUUAUUGUCUGGUACAAAAAUCUUCUUUUUAUCCAAAAUGUUUUAUAGCAGAAGCUGGACUGUUCAUUUAAAAUAGUGCACAUGACAUUUUCUGGACAGCAGAGAUGGGGACUCAAGUCACACGUUAGUUGCAAAAAAAAAAAAAAAGACUUCAGACUUGACUCAGAAUCUACUUGGACUCAUGGUCUAGUUCUCACGAACAAUUUUUAUAAUUUGAGUAAAUGGCUAAGUUACUAUUGUGUAGUCGUGUAUUCCUUCUCGGAGAUGUUGGGUAUUUAUGAAUACAUGCACUUUUAUGUAAUGGAUGCAGAUGUUUGAAAUAAAGACUCCAUUUCAAUCCGGUUUUCACUGCUUGUUUUUUUUUUUUUUUUUUAACAUGGUAAAAUGAUUCCAGAUUGCUCGCUCGUCUUCCAACUUUUGCAAACAUGUUGCUGACAUCAUCUAAAAAUGUAACAAAGAAUAGUAAAAGCAUGUCAAAUUGACUUAUUUUUUUUUCAUUUAUUUAUUAUGUUUUUGUGCUUUUGGCUACAGUUUCUAGAGCAUCCGCCUUUCUUUGGAAAGGUGCCAUUAUGUGUUGCCACGGGAAUUUAGGGUGCUUUAUGCAUGUGUCAGAUCAUUUCUGUGAAUUAUCUGAGGUGGGGUAAAGUCCGACAUUCGGGCUGACUUACAGCAGCAGCACUAGACCUUUGAGAGAAACAAAAAGCAGGAAAAUUGAGAGAAGGAAGUACCUUACUCCCACUGUUCUGUAAUUUUAGCAGCCUCUCUCAUUGUUUUCUGACUUAUUUCACUGUAUUUGAUUCUCUUCCAAUUUUCCUCUCAACUCUCCCCCCCCAAAAAAAUGUUUCAGUGAACUCUCAUCUGGACAUGGGCAGUACAGGCUCACAAGGAAUACACAAACACCCUCGCGUAGUGUUUGUUGUUACAUUAUGAACUAAGGUUUUGUUAUUUGUGUCAUGCGAUGUGCACAUAUUGUCAGGAUCUGUUGCCUUUUGGACUCUGUGGCUUUGUGUUAUUUUGAGUGUUUGGUUGUUUCUUCCCCCCUCGUUCAUAGCUCCUUUAGUUACUGUUGUUUUUCUUAUGACUUAGUAUGAUUUUCUCUUUGUUGUCAUUGUUACCAUUAUUAUUAUGAUUGUUCUCUGUUUUCCUUGGGUUCUUUAAUUAGUUCUCCAUCUGGUUUCUCUGUGUUUUUAUUUGUGGUUAGGUAUUUGUUUCUUCCCCCUUGCACUCUUCUGCUUAUUAGUUUAUUUUUCUGUUACUUUUCAGUUAUACUGUAUUCGGUCUUUGUUUCCUAGUCCUCCCAGUCUGGUUCUCUUUAUCUUAAUUCUCCAGUCCCUCUUUAUAGGUUAGCUUUUGUUAUUGUUUACUUUUAUUCUUGUCCCCGCUUCCUCUGCCUCAUUCACAAUUUGUUCUUUCAGUAUUGGUUUUUAGUUUCUUUUAGGGUCGGCUCACUAUCUUGUCUUUAGUCCUUUUCCUCAUUUAGUUCUAUUAGGUUCACCUGCUCCCUCUGCCUCCCAGCCUCCUUGUCUCACCUGUUCUUGGUUCCUUUGAUUACCUGUCUUUGUUCUCCCUCAGUAUAUUAGUUGUUUUUGUUUCUUUGUCCUUUGCUGGUUCCUCUGAUCACAUUACCUGAUUUUGCUCAGUAUUUGUUACGUUCCUACAGUACAACGCAGAAGUUUUGAUUGUACUCAUGCCUUGCACCUGCGGCCUGUGAGUUUGGUACAUAUCUCUUAACAGAGCUACAGUGGGAGGCAGACCUACUUCUUUGUGUUCUCCUCCAAGUGAUUCAAGUGGCUGGAUGCUCUGCUCUCGGACCUCUGAAACAACAACACCAUCAUGGGAGGGAUAAAAGUACACUGCCAUUGUUUGACUAUACCCACAGCUCUGACCAGAAACCCUGGAGCCGCUCAGCCUGCCCAGUGACACAUGGAAACAAACAAGGUGCAAAUAGCAAGGACAAACUAGGCUCCAGUUUCAGGUCAUCUCCCAUGAAAACCAGGAGGCAGUGCAGGGCAGCCAAGCGAAGAGGGUCCGUCCUACUGCUGGGACACCUUAGGCAAAGAGACCUAUGGGGAUGAAGAGCGGAUGAAGUUGGUGUAAAUUCAGCGACGGCUUGUCGUUUCCAAGAUACACUCUGAACCUCUUGCUACAAUCUGCAGGAAGUGAGAGGAGCCAAAUGAUCCCAAAUGCUCAGGAUUAAAUAACUCCAGGAAGCAGUAAUAUACAGCGAAAGGAGCAAAGAGUAUCAAAUCCGUCCGCAGAAAACAGUUUCCUUCUUAAACCCAGGCGACACUUUACAUCUGGUCUCCUCUCCCCACCCUUCACAUCAUGUGACCGAAAGGGCUUUUUAUGCUUACUUUGCGAACAGGCAAAAUU